This 18-nucleotide unclassified non-coding RNA is filed under the name Mus musculus (house mouse). Its description in RNAcentral is "oocyte_clustered_small_RNA3819". Lineage: Eukaryota; Metazoa; Chordata; Mammalia; Rodentia; Muridae. The record is from RNAcentral.
UGAGAGGCGGGACAUCUU